This 267-nucleotide ribosomal RNA is filed under the name uncultured Bacillus sp. Its description in RNAcentral is "partial 16S ribosomal RNA". It matches the Rfam family "Bacterial small subunit ribosomal RNA", at positions 1115 to 1382 of the family's 1533-position model. The record is from RNAcentral. Lineage: Bacteria; Bacillati; Bacillota; Bacilli; Caryophanales; Bacillaceae.
UUGCUAACGCGUGAAGGCGAGCACUCUAGACGAACUGCCGUUGACAAACGGAGGAAGUGGGGAUGACGUCAAAUCAUCAUGCCCCUUAUGUUCUGGGCUACACACGUGCUACAAUGGCCGGUACAGACGGACGCAAAGCCGCGAGGUGGAGCAAAUCCUAAAAAGCCGGUCUCAGUUCGGAUUGCAGGCUGCAAUUCGCCUGCAUGAAGUCGGAAUCGCUAGUAAUCGCAGGUCAGCAUACUGCGGUCGAAUACGUUCCCGGGCCUU